GUAUCCUGUCUGAAUAUGGGGGGACCAUCCUCCAAGGCUAAAUACUCCUGACUGACCGAUAGUGAACCAGUACCGUGAGGGAAAGGCGAAAAGAACCCCGGCGAGGGGAGUGAAAAAGAACCUGAAACCGUGUACGUACAAGCAGUGGGAGCCUCUUAAUGGGGUGACUGCGUACCUUUUGUAUAAUGGGUCAGCGACUUAUAUUCUGUAGCAAGGUUAACCGAAUAGGGGAGCCGAAGGGAAACCGAGUCUUAACUGGGCGUUAAGUUGCAGGGUAUAGACCCGAAACCCGGUGAUCUAGCCAUGGGCAGGUUGAAGGUUGGGUAACACUAACUGGAGGACCGAACCGACUAAUGUUGAAAAAUUAGCGGAUGACUUGUGGCUGGGGGUGAAAGGCCAAUCAAACCGGGAGAUAGCUGGUUCUCCCCGAAAGCUAUUUAGGUAGCGCCUCGUGAAUUCAUCUCCGGGGGUAGAGCACUGUUUCGGCAAGGGGGUCAUCCCGACUUACCAACCCGAUGCAAACUGCGAAUACCGGAGAAUGUUAUCACGGGAGACACACGGCGGGUGCUAACGUCCGUCGUGAAGAGGGAAACAACCCAGACCGCCAGCUAAGGUCCCAAAGUCAUGGUUAAGUGGGAAACGAUGUGGGAAGGCCCAGACAGCCAGGAUGUUGGCUUAGAAGCAGCCAUCAUUUAAAGAAAGCGUAAUAGCUCACUGGUCGAGUCGGCCUGCGCGGAAGAUGUAACGGGGCUAAACCAUGCACCGAAGCUGCGGCAGCGACACUAUGUGUUGUUGGGUAGGGGAGCGUUCUGUAAGCCUGUGAAGGUGGCCUGUGAGGGUUGCUGGAGGUAUCAGAAGUGCGAAUGCUGACAUAAGUAACGAUAAAGCGGGUGAAAAGCCCGCUCGCCGGAAGACCAAGGGUUCCUGUCCAACGUUAAUCGGGGCAGGGUGAGUCGACCCCUAAGGCGAGGCCGAAAGGCGUAGUCGAUGGGAAACAGGUUAAUAUUCCUGUACUUGGUGUUACUGCGAAGGGGGGACGGAGAAGGCUAUGUUGGCCGGGCGACGGUUGUCCCGGUUUAAGCGUGUAGGCUGGUUUUCCAGGCAAAUCCGGAAAACCAAGGCUGAGGCGUGAUGACGAGGCACCACGGUGCUGAAGCGACAAAUGCCCUGCUUCCAGGAAAAGCCUCUAAGCAUCAGGUAACAUCAAAUCGUACCCCAAACCGACACAGGUGGUCAGGUAGAGAAUACCAAGGCGCUUGAGAGAACUCGGGUGAAGGAACUAGGCAAAAUGGUGCCGUAACUUCGGGAGAAGGCACGCUGAUAUGUAGGUGAAGCGACUUGCUCGUGGAGCUGAAAUCAGUCGAAGAUACCAGCUGGCUGCAACUGUUUAUUAAAAACACAGCACUGUGCAAACACGAAAGUGGACGUAUACGGUGUGACGCCUGCCCGGUGCCGGAAG
RNAcentral lists this ribosomal RNA (1459 nucleotides) under Escherichia coli. RNAcentral describes it as "partial 23S ribosomal RNA". It matches the Rfam family "Bacterial large subunit ribosomal RNA", at positions 429 to 1875 of the family's 2925-position model. Lineage: Bacteria; Pseudomonadati; Pseudomonadota; Gammaproteobacteria; Enterobacterales; Enterobacteriaceae. The record is from RNAcentral.